This 346-nucleotide ribosomal RNA is filed under the name uncultured Lactobacillaceae bacterium. Its description in RNAcentral is "bacterial SSU rRNA". It matches the Rfam family "Bacterial small subunit ribosomal RNA", at positions 349 to 687 of the family's 1533-position model. Lineage: Bacteria; Bacillati; Bacillota; Bacilli; Lactobacillales; Lactobacillaceae. The record is from RNAcentral.
UAGCAGUAGGGAAUCUUCCACAAUGGACGCAAGUCUGAUGGAGCAAUGCCGCGUGAGUGAAGAAGGGUUUCGGCUCGUAAAACUCUGUUGUUGAAGAAGAACGGGUGUCAGAGUAACUGUUGACAUCGUGACGGUAUUCAACCAGAAAGCCACGGCUAACUACGUGCCAGCAGCCGCGGUAAUACGUAGGUGGCAAGCGUUGUCCGGAUUUAUUGGGCGUAAAGCGAGCGCAGGCGGUUAUUUAAGUCUGAUGUGAAAGCCUUCGGCUUAACCGAAGAAGUGCAUCGGAAACUGGAUGACUUGAGUGCAGAAGAGGACAGUGGAACUCCAUGUGUAGCGGUGGAAU